UGCAGUGACCAGGAUUCAAACCUGGGUUAUCACAGCCACAAUGCAAUGUCCCUAACUACUAGACGAUGAUCACAGC
Molecule: non-coding RNA, 76 nt
Organism: Cordylochernes scorpioides
Lineage: Eukaryota; Metazoa; Arthropoda; Arachnida; Pseudoscorpiones; Chernetidae
Source: the annotation of a GenBank genome assembly